This 589-nucleotide ribosomal RNA is filed under the name uncultured Pseudomonadota bacterium. RNAcentral describes it as "bacterial SSU rRNA". It matches the Rfam family "Bacterial small subunit ribosomal RNA", at positions 69 to 702 of the family's 1533-position model. The record is from RNAcentral. Lineage: Bacteria; Pseudomonadati; Pseudomonadota.
CCCGUAGCAAUACGGGAGUGGCAGACGGGUGAGUAACGCGUGGGAACGUGCCCUUCGGUUCGGAAUAACUCAGGGAAACUUGAGCUAAUACCGGAUACGUCCGUAAGGAGAAAGAUUUAUCGCCGAAGGAUCGGCCCGCGUCGGAUUAGCUAGUUGGUGGGGUAAUGGCCCACCAAGGCGACGAUCCGUAGCUGGUCUGAGAGGAUGAUCAGCCACACUGGGACUGAGACACGGCCCAGACUCCUACGGGAGGCAGCAGUGGGGAAUAUUGGACAAUGGGCGCAAGCCUGAUCCAGCCAUGCCGCGUGAGUGAAGAAGGCCUUAGGGUUGUAAAGCUCUUUCAGCGGGGAAGAUAAUGACGGUACCCGCAGAAGAAGCCCCGGCUAACUUCGUGCCAGCAGCCGCGGUAAUACGAAGGGGGCUAGCGUUGUUCGGAUUUACUGGGCGUAAAGCGCGCGUAGGCGGAUCACUAAGUCAGGGGUGAAAUCCCGAGGCUUAACCUCGGAACUGCCUUUGAUACUGGUGAUCUGGAGAUCGGGAGAGGUUGGUGGAAUUCCGAGUGUAGAGGUGAAAUUCGUAGAUAUUCGGA